GCUGGGCGUGGUGGCGCAUGCCUGUAGUCCCAGCUACUUGGGAGGCUGAGGCAGGAGAAUAGCUUGAACCCAGGAGGCAGAGGUUGCAGUGAGCCGAGAUCACGCCACUGCACUCCAGCCUGGGCAACAAAGCGAGACUCAGUCUCAA
Unclassified non-coding RNA from Pongo abelii (Sumatran orangutan), 148 nucleotides. It matches the Rfam family "Metazoan signal recognition particle RNA". From Rfam's summary of the family: The signal recognition particle (SRP) is a universally conserved ribonucleoprotein. It is involved in the co-translational targeting of proteins to membranes. NCBI's taxonomy places the organism in Eukaryota, Metazoa, Chordata, Mammalia, Primates, Hominidae. The record is from Ensembl.